GCAUUAAUGGGGUAGUGGUAACCUGGGUCGUUGCCAUAUUGUUCUUCGAUAGGUUUCUGUAGGUUUCGACCCGCCGGGGGUUCGAUUCCCCCUUAAUGCA
This is a non-coding RNA of Termitomyces sp. Mi166#008, 100 nucleotides long. The record is from the annotation of a GenBank genome assembly. Lineage: Eukaryota; Fungi; Basidiomycota; Agaricomycetes; Agaricales; Lyophyllaceae.